CAGCCGCCGCGGUAAUACCGGCGGCCCGAGUGGCGGUCACUAUUAUUGGGCUUAAAGCGUCCGUAGCCGGGUUGGGAAGUCCUCCGGGAAAUCUGGCCGCUUAAAGGUCAGAAUGCCGGAGGAUACUCCCAGCCUAGGGAGCGGGGGAGGCCGAGGGGAUUCCCGGAGUAGGGGUGGAAUCCUAUAAUCCCGGGAGGACCACCUGUGGCGAAGGCGCUCGGCUGGAACGCGUCCGACGGUGAGGGACGAAGGCCAGGGGAGCAAACCGGAUUAGAUACCCGGGUAGUCCUGGCUGUAAACGAUGCGGACGUUGUGUCGGACAAGCUAUGAGCUUGUCCGGUGCCGGAGGGAAACCGUUAAGUCCGCCGCCUGGGGAGUACGGCCGCAAGGCUGAAACUUAAAGGAAUUGGCGGG
RNAcentral lists this ribosomal RNA (414 nucleotides) under uncultured microorganism. RNAcentral describes it as "bacterial SSU rRNA". It matches the Rfam family "Archaeal small subunit ribosomal RNA", at positions 459 to 872 of the family's 1478-position model. The record is from RNAcentral.